AUUGAACGCUGGCGGCAUGCUUUACACAUGCAAGUCGAACGGCAGCACGGGGGCAACCCUGGUGGCGAGUGGCGAACGGGUGAGUAAUAUAUCGGAACGUACCCGGAAAUGGGGGAUAACGUAGCGAAAGUUACGCUAAUACCGCAUAUGCCCUAAGGGGGAAAGCGGGGGAUUCGCAAGAACCUCGCGUUUUCGGAGCGGCCGAUAUCGGAUUAGCUAGUAGGUGAGGUAAAGGCUCACCUAGGCGACGAUCCGUAGCUGGUCUGAGAGGACGACCAGCCACACUGGAACUGAGACACGGUCCAGACUCCUACGGGAGGCAGCAGUGGGGAAUUUUGGACAAUGGGCGCAAGCCUGA
RNAcentral lists this ribosomal RNA (358 nucleotides) under uncultured bacterium. Its description in RNAcentral is "bacterial SSU rRNA". It matches the Rfam family "Bacterial small subunit ribosomal RNA", at positions 30 to 386 of the family's 1533-position model. The record is from RNAcentral.